GACCUAAGAGUGUGAAUAUCAAAUUGACAGGCUACAUGCUGAAUUGGGCUUCCUAUCACUAAAAUGGCUUCUGGCUUGGUUUGCCAUUUCAUUUUCCUAUACACUGCCGAUGUGAGACUGUUCACACGAGUGAUAUUCCAACUUAGUUGUUUAGCAACAUUGGCCUAUAUAUUUGUACCUGUUUUUGUCAAUGUGGCAAUCACACCAUCAAGGUCUGACACCAUUGUGGCAGGCAACAUUUCAAGUGACUCUUCUAUGUGUGAAUGUGCUUCUUUAGCCUGUUGAGUAAUAGCAUUCUCUUGCAUAACUGAAGCGGUAAUUCGUAUGAAGUAGCUUUAAGUCAAAUUUCGCAUAGGAAAUUCUGAUAAUUUAUGGUGUUUCCUUUUAUAAUACUUUUCUUUCGUAGUUAUGGGGCCUUUCCAAGCAGUUUGGAAGAAUAGAAAAAGGAGGAAAG
RNAcentral lists this unclassified non-coding RNA (454 nucleotides) under Hevea brasiliensis (rubber tree). The record is from RNAcentral. Lineage: Eukaryota; Viridiplantae; Streptophyta; Magnoliopsida; Malpighiales; Euphorbiaceae.